Molecule: long non-coding RNA, 2473 nt
Organism: Thunnus maccoyii (southern bluefin tuna)
Lineage: Eukaryota; Metazoa; Chordata; Actinopteri; Scombriformes; Scombridae
Exons: 3
Source: RefSeq, a predicted model, not a curated record
GAUGAUGAAUAAUGAAUGUAAAUAUAAAAACUCAGCUAUUCGGUCUCACAUUGAUAUAUUCUGAUUGUGAUGUCAUAACUUUCACUCCUAAAUGUUCUUUGACAACAGUUACAGUCUGCAUUUACUCUCCACGAGUCCUUCAAACAUCUUAUUCUUCCAAAGCUACAGAACAAAUGAGUAGACAUUAAACUGUAUCUGACUGCAGGCCAGAUUAUUCCUGCAGCAUCUCCUCGCAGCUUGAAAGGAAACUAAAUUAGAAACGUCCUUGUAAUUACUCUUUGGAUUGGAGCAUUAGUGCAACAGUAUGCAGGGCGUACAUUUAAAAAAUGUGGGGAUUCAACAAUAAUUGCAUCUGGAUGUAACCUCAAGGGCGAACACGGUGUUUGAUCUUAAUUUAUAUGAAUCCAUUCCCUGAUGGGACGUAGCCUACUUUAUGGAGCAUAAAAUGUCAGAUCUGAGUUUGUCUUCAGGUCCUGAGGAGACGUUGCAGCAGCAGCAGCCACUGAGCAGAAAAAACAACCACCCACACUAUUGUUUGAUGAACACAAAGAGCAGAUGCUUUUAUUAACACGCUGCACACUUAAACUGAGGUUUCCCUGCUUUUGUUGAGUCAUUCAGAUUCAGUCUUCAUGUCAGCGACCUUAAAACUGUCUUUUUACAGCCUUUAAUACAUUUACAAGCUGCUCUUUGUAAAGCAUCUCACAGCUAACAAAGGACAAAAGUAUGAUUGAACAUUAAUUACUUUGAAACAGAACCAGCAUGUAUUUGUUUUUGUUUGUCUCGCAGGGUGAAAACUAAUUUAGCAGCAAACAGGUAAAGACCAGAGACUUCGCUGACAGAGCUGUGUAAAAGAGCGUCAGGCUGUUGUGACAUGAAUUACCACACUGUCAACCGCUGCGGAGCCCAAAGUCAGAGAUUUUCAGGGUCAGAUAGUGUCUCCGUGGCUGCUGCAGGUUUGUUUUUCAUUUUACUUUUACUGAAAGCAAUGCCAGCUGAAACUUGAUUUAUUUUUUAAAGGAAUGUCAGCGUGAGAGAAAAUUCCAAUUUAUUUCCUGCUGACACACUGCUGGAAAACAAAAACUCAACACGUCCUUGAUUUGAACAGAAAGCCGCAAUCAUAAACUGCAUGAAUUAUCUCAUCUCGCAGAGGAAACAAAGUUUAAUCAGGAGAGACGAGUUUUCAUCCAACCUGCCAUCCAGGACAUCCUUCAACGCCCUCCAGCUCCUCCUGGGGAAUCUCUAGAUGUUCCCAGACCAGAGGAGAUAUGUAGUCCCUCCAGCAUGUUCUGGGUCUGCCCCGAGGUCUCCUACCAGUUGGACCUGGCUGGAACACCUCCAGGGGGAGGAAAUGACUGACUCAGCUCCUUCGUCACCACAACGGUUUGUUACAACACCUGCACAACUGCUGAUGCUGCACCGAUCUGCCUGACAACCAGAGGAAGCAGUCCACCGUUCUCCAGCAGAGCACCACGUUAAAUUAAUUCACUCAAUGAGCUGAGUUUUGUUCAGUUAAGAUGAGAUGUAUCAUGCUCACCCUGUAAAUAAAUAAUAUAAUAUAAUAAAUGUAGCCGGGUGGUAAAUUGGUUCAGAUGUAAUUUUCCACUUAGGUGUGAUAUAGCUCUCAAAGUUGUUUGGAUGUUAAUACAUGUGUUCUUUGUUGUUUUCUUUUGAGUGUACAAUUGUUUAGGUUUAAUUAAAAUGUGAAGUAAACUGUAAGUGGGCUGUGACAGUCUCACUUGUUGUUGCUGAUUUUGGUCACAAGGUGGCAGCGUUGUGCAAUAUUAUUAUUACUCCGCCAACUGCAUCUUGGUCUUUCUUCCUGUUUACGUGCGAACAACCUGGAGAUUUGCAGAGUGGGUGACGCUGUGACUCCAUCGUGUAAAGUAGUAGGUAAAUAUACACAUAUCUUGUAAAAUAUUCCUGUACAAAUACCUAAAGGAUGUUAUCUGUCGAUAUUUUAACGAGAUGGUUUGAUUUAGACGCUCCUGGAGUUGAUGUCCUGGGAUUUUGACGUCGACCACUGUGUUCUCAGUUGCAUAGCAAGGUAAUGUUAGCGUGCAUAAAGCUACACCAUGCUAUUGUAUUUUGUUACUAGAGAAAAUGUACAGGUGUUACAUUCAUUUGAACUCUAACUGAAGGUAAACGACAGUGUGUUGAGUUGUGCAGUCUCCCGGGAGUUGGUGAAACUUGAGAAAAAUGUAAGUGUACUUUGCGAGUAUACCUUGUACAUUGACAGGCUACUUUUUGUGGGUUUAUGGCUGUUAAAUAUGUACUUAUCUGGUUCUAUUUUAUGUUUUCUGUUGAUAGUCAUAGCCCACUGUUGUAUUUUGUUUUGGUUAUUUUUCUUUUAAAUCAUUUUUUUGUGUUAACUCUGCCACUCGCUGUGAAAGCACAUGAGCUGCUCAGUAGUUUACACACUCUGUUAAAAUGACCUGUUGCAAAUGUGGUCAACAAUAUAAUUAAAGCUACAAGA